This 406-nucleotide ribosomal RNA is filed under the name uncultured bacterium. RNAcentral describes it as "bacterial SSU rRNA". It matches the Rfam family "Bacterial small subunit ribosomal RNA", at positions 29 to 479 of the family's 1533-position model. The record is from RNAcentral.
AACGAACGCUGGCGGCAUGCCUAACACAUGCAAGUCGAACGAGACCUUCGGGUCUAGUGGCGCACGGGUGCGUAACGCGUGGGAAUCUGCCCUUGGGUUCGGAAUAACAGCGAGAAAUUGCUGCUAAUACCGGAUGAUGACGUAAGUCCAAAGAUUUAUCGCCCAAGGAUGAGCCCGCGUAGGAUUAGCUAGUUGGUGAGGUAAAGGCUCACCAAGGCGACGAUCCGUAGCUGGUCUGAGAGGAUGAUCAGCCACACUGGGACUGAGACACGGCCCAGACUCCUACGGGAGGCAGCAGUGGGGAAUAUUGGACAAUGGGCGAAAGCCUGAUCCAGCAAUGCCGCGUGAGUGAUGAAGGCCUUAGGGUUGUUAAAGCUCUUUUACCCGGGAUGAUAAUGACAGUACC